Molecule: non-coding RNA, 30 nt
Filed under: Mus musculus (house mouse)
Lineage: Eukaryota; Metazoa; Chordata; Mammalia; Rodentia; Muridae
Source: RNAcentral
UAUCCAUAAUUGCAUGGUAUGCUAGCAGUU